UGAAUACGAGACGCUAAGGCGUCGAAGUAGUGUAUGUCAUACUUCCAAGAAAAGCUUGCACUGUCAUAGAUAAAAAACGCCUGUACCAUAACCGACACAGGUGGGUAGGUAGAGUAUACUAAGGGGCGCGAGAUAACUCUCUCUAAGGAACUCGGCAAAAUAACUCCGUAACUUCGGGAGAAGGAGUGCCUUAUUCGUAAGGUUGCAAUAACAAGAUCCAAGCAACUGUUUAUCAAAAACACAGGUCUCCGCUAAGUCGUAAGACGAUGUAUGGGAGCUGACGCCUGCCCAGUGCCAGAAGGUUAAAGAAGUUGGUUAGCAAUUGCGAAGCUGAUAACUGAAGCCCUGGUGAACGGCGGCCGUAACAAUAACGGUCCUAAGGUAGCGAAAUUCCUUGUCGGGUAAGUUCCGACCCGCACGAAAGGCGUAAUGAUUUGGAUACUGUCUCGGAGAGGGGCUCGGUGAAAUAGACUUGUCUGUGAAGAUGCGGACUACCUGCACCAGGACAGAAAGACCCUAUGAAGCUUUACUGUAACUUGAAAUUGAAAUUGGACUUUAUUCGCGCAGUAUAGGUGGGAGGCGUUGAUUAUAAUCUUGUGGGAUUAUUGGAGCCAUCAGUGAGAUACCACUCUUGUAAUGUUAGAUUUCUAACUUUGAAUCAUUAUCUGGUCAAAGAACAGUUUCAGGCGGGCAGUUUGACUGGGGCGGUCGCCUCCUAAACGGUAACGGAGGCGUACAAAGGUUUCCUCUGAACGGUUAGAAAUCGUAUCUAGAGUGUAAAGGCAUAAGGAAGCUUGACUGUGAGACCUACAAGUCGAGCAGGGACGAAAGUCGGUCUUAGUGAUCUGACGGUACUGAGUGGAAAGGCCGUCACUCAACGGAUAAAAGUUACUCUAGGAUAACAGGCUGAUCUCCCCCAAGAGUUCACAUCGACGGGGAGGUUUGGCACCUCGAUGUCGGCUCAUCGCAUCCUGGGGCGGUAGUACGUCCCAAGGGUUGGGCUGUUCGCCCAUGAAAGUAUACGCGAGCUGGGUUCAGAACGUCGUGAGACAGUUCGGUCCAUAUCCGGUGUAGGCGUUAGAAUAUUGAGAGGAGCCUUCUUUAGUACGAGAGGACCGAGAAGGACAUACCUCUGGUGUACCAGUUAUCGUGCCAACGGUAAACGCUGGGUAGCUAUGUAUGGAGUGGAUAACCGCUGAAAGCAUCUAAGUGGGAAGCCCACCUCAAGAUAAGUACUU
RNAcentral lists this ribosomal RNA (1238 nucleotides) under metagenome. RNAcentral describes it as "bacterial LSU rRNA". It matches the Rfam family "Bacterial large subunit ribosomal RNA", at positions 1564 to 2813 of the family's 2925-position model. The record is from RNAcentral.